Molecule: unclassified non-coding RNA, 382 nt
Filed under: plant metagenome
Description: partial contains 5.8S ribosomal RNA, internal transcribed spacer 2, and large subunit ribosomal RNA
Source: RNAcentral
GAACAGCGUGACAACGAACCCAGCUUGAGCGAAGCGCUCAGCAAAUUGUGGUAGGCCCAUCUCUUUGGUCAAGCCAAUGCCAUGCGCCAUAACAAUGGCAGGACAACGUUGACCAGAUGCGGCUUGAGGAGGAGUGUAAAAGGUGACGGAACACUUUAACCCUUUACUGUCAAAACUGGCAGCUCUUGUGUGCAUCGCUUUCUUUUAUUGCCUUAUCCUUUCAUUGCUCUUGAAGCCUGAGUUCAUCAUAGGCUUUGUCAAGAAGGUUCUGAAUACAUAAACCUUGCAGGUUCUUGCCUAAUUUUCUCAAACAUCAGGAUGGUGCUUAAAAGAAUCCUCUAUACUAGGCGUAGUAAAACGAUGAGAGGGAUGUCUCACGAUA